Molecule: long non-coding RNA, 941 nt
Organism: Diceros bicornis minor
Lineage: Eukaryota; Metazoa; Chordata; Mammalia; Perissodactyla; Rhinocerotidae
Exons: 2
Source: RefSeq, a predicted model, not a curated record
CAGAGGAAGGUCGUGCACCAGGUGGCCGGGCCAGGACCAGGGCCCCAUCCACCACCCUGAGGAUCACAGGUCCCCGGCUCCGCCCAGUCCAGCCACGCCCCCUGGCUGCGCCACUGGGGACCCUCAGCGCCUCUGCCUUCAGCCAAUAGGAAACCUGGUGGCAGGCGCAUUCGCCGGGGCGUGGGGUCAAGGGUCACACAAGUAGGCCUCGCCGGGUGGCCUGAAGGUGUGAAGCGACGAGGGCCCGGCUGGGGCGCCGGCUGGGCUGCCCGGGGCCGGGGCGAGGGCUCUGAACGGCGGCUGUGUGCUCGCGGAGCCGGCAGGAGGCGGCGGAGGCCGGGGGCGCGCCCGUGGGCCGAUUUCACCUGCCGCCUGUGGCCGUGGAUUCACACUGCUGUCCUCUAAAACCAAGGAUGGGACGGAAGUUUGGGGGAUGGAACUCAACAGAGAUUCCCGGCUUGGCUUUCACAGGAGCCAGGAAGGGAAACGUGAAGCUCUCCCCUUGGCUUUCUCUGCUAUGAUUGGCUGAGGAAGCUCCCUCUGACUUUCAAGAAUCUGAUGACAUCAACCAAACCACAACAACAACAAGGAUGGAGUCUUGAAAGGCAUGUUGUUUGAAACCAUCUGGGCUAGAUUAUUUUUCAGCCCGUUUGGUAAAGGUCAUUUGCUGCUAAGUAGGGGUGUUCUUUUUUGGCCCCAGAGUGAUGACGUUUGUUUCCUCGCUUGAGAUAGCCUGAGACACCCUACAGUGCCUAGAAUGUGGUCUGGGGAAGAAAUUCAACGAAAGCCUUAAGAUGGAGGCUUUAUUCCAAUUAUUUGAAACUGGAUUGUAAAAAUGUUAGAAAUUAUUGAUGAUAUUUUAACAAAUAUUCAUUAGUCAAUGAAUAGUAUGAGGACAAUAAGAAGCAUUUUUUAAAAUAAAGUGGAAUUACCCAGAAGUA